RNAcentral lists this ribosomal RNA (236 nucleotides) under uncultured bacterium. RNAcentral describes it as "partial 16S ribosomal RNA". It matches the Rfam family "Bacterial small subunit ribosomal RNA", at positions 15 to 240 of the family's 1533-position model. The record is from RNAcentral.
GAUCAUGGCUCAGGACGAACGCUGGCGGCGUGCCUAACACAUGCAAGUCGAACGGGGUUACACGAGGUGCUUGCACCAUGUGCAACCUAGUGGCGGACGGGUGAGUAACGCGUGAGCAACCUGCCUUUCAGAGGGGGAUAACAACGGGAAACCGUUGCUAAUACCGCAUAAUACCGGAUGAUGGCAUCAUCGACCGGUCAAAGGAGCAAUCCGCUGAAAGAUGGGCUCGCGUCCCA